Molecule: ribosomal RNA, 257 nt
Filed under: uncultured bacterium
Lineage: Bacteria
Description: partial 16S ribosomal RNA
Rfam family: Bacterial small subunit ribosomal RNA
Source: RNAcentral
CCCGCGUAGGAUUAGCUAGUUGGUGUGGUAAGAGCGCACCAAGGCGACGAUCCUUAGCUGGUCUGAGAGGAUGAUCAGCCACACUGGGACUGAGACACGGCCCAGACUCCUACGGGAGGCAGCAGUGGGGAAUAUUGGACAAUGGGCGAAAGCCUGAUCCAGCAAUGCCGCGUGAGUGAUGAAGGCCUUAGGGUUGUAAAGCUCUUUUACCCGGGAUGAUAAUGACAGUACCGGGAGAAUAAGCUCCGGCUAACUCC